UCAGAGCCAAUGGAAGCCCUUUGCAUUUCUCCACAACCUAUUAAACCCAGGACUCCAUUAACAAAGGGUUCACAUAUUUAUUGAUUAAACAAACAAGAAACAAGUUAUACCUGUUUGAUCAGAUUCUCAUCAGAUCCAGGAGGUAUUGAGGUUGUUCCGAAAGCAGUGUGACAGAAAANGAAUUAACUUUCUUGUAUAUAUAUAUAUAUUAUAUAUAUACCUUUCUUCUUUCAAAAGGGUGAGAAGAUUUUUGUUUGAGAGCUCGAGAAUAAUGGCAAAAGCUUCUUCAUCAUCGAUGUCAUGAAGCUCAGUCCAUAUAUUGAUAAGAACAUCUAGAGGGAUCUUUUUGUCUUCUGGGAAAGAACCCAAAUCAAGAAAGCAGUUUCUCACUUUUUCUGAGAGGUAAUCGAUGCUGAGUUUCAUCCUGUUGAGCAACUCGAUUUCAUGGGAAUCGCAUAUUGGUUGGGCUCUUGAUAAUCUGCUGUUGGCACCUCUCCAGUACAUUUCAGGCUGAUCUCUUAGUGAAGCUCCGAUCACUUUCAGAGCCAAUGGAAGCCCUUUGCAUUUCUCCACAACCUAUUAAACCCAGGACUCCAUUAACAAAGGGUUCACAUAUUUAUUGAUUAAACAAACAAGAAACAAGUUAUACCUGUUUGAUCAGAUUCUCAUCAGAUCCAGGAGGUAUUGAGGUUGUUCCGAAAGCAGUGUGACAGAAAAGGGAGAUUGCUUCUUCUUCUCUUAGCAAUUCUAACUCAUAGGUUGAGUUGAGAACUUUAGAUGGAAACUUGAUGCGCGAAACCACAAGAGUUUUGCAACCAGGAACAUUGAAG
Molecule: long non-coding RNA, 830 nt
Filed under: Lactuca sativa (garden lettuce)
Lineage: Eukaryota; Viridiplantae; Streptophyta; Magnoliopsida; Asterales; Asteraceae
Description: long non-coding RNA (LSAT_LNC000093)
Source: RNAcentral